This 268-nucleotide small nuclear RNA is filed under the name Nannospalax galili (Upper Galilee mountains blind mole rat). RNAcentral describes it as "7SK RNA (ENSNGAG00000007162.1)". It matches the Rfam family "7SK RNA". Rfam says of the family: 7SK was discovered as an abundant small nuclear RNA in the mid-70s but a possible function has only recently been suggested. Lineage: Eukaryota; Metazoa; Chordata; Mammalia; Rodentia; Spalacidae. The record is from Rfam by way of RNAcentral.
AGACAUGAGGGUGUUCUGGAUGAGGCAUCUGUCAUCUUGUUGACUUCCAAAUUGAUUUAGCUGAUCUGGCUUACUUGGCGGGCACCCUUUCUUCCCUUACCAAAAGCUCCAUGUCCACCCAUCCCAAAGCUGUAUGUCUUCAGUCAAGGAAACACCAGUAGCUGUGCUCUUCCCUUAGAACCUUCAAACAAGCUCUCAAACACCUGUCUUAUCUAGAAGCACCCUAGCAGCCACUCUAGGUAUCGGGGCACUCUGGCCCAGAUAACAU